RNAcentral lists this transfer RNA (91 nucleotides) under Coriobacteriaceae bacterium. RNAcentral describes it as "tRNA-Ser". It matches the Rfam family "tRNA". From Rfam's summary of the family: Transfer RNA (tRNA) molecules are approximately 80 nucleotides in length. Their secondary structure includes four short double-helical elements and three loops (D, anti-codon, and T loops). Lineage: Bacteria; Bacillati; Actinomycetota; Coriobacteriia; Coriobacteriales; Coriobacteriaceae. The record is from RNAcentral. RNAcentral also lists the same sequence under 3 other names.
GGAGGGAUGGCAGAGCGGCUGAAUGCGGCGGUCUCGAAAACCGUUUAGCUCCUCUGGAGCUACGAGGGUUCAAAUCCCUCUCCCUCCGCCA